RNAcentral lists this ribosomal RNA (464 nucleotides) under uncultured bacterium. RNAcentral describes it as "partial 16S ribosomal RNA". It matches the Rfam family "Bacterial small subunit ribosomal RNA", at positions 339 to 795 of the family's 1533-position model. The record is from RNAcentral.
CUACGGGAGGCUGCAGUGAGGAAUUUUGCGCAAUGGGGGAAACCCUGACGCAGCAACGCCGCGUGAGUGAAGAAGGCCCUUGGGUAGUAAAGCUCUGUCAAUGGGGAAGAAGUUAUUAUGUGUUAAUAGCACAUUUUAUUGACGGUACCCAUGAAGGAAGCACCGGCUAACUCCGUGCCAGCAGCCGCGGUAAUACGGGGGGUGCAAGCGUUAUUCGGAAUUAUUGGGCGUAAAGGGCACGCAGGCGGUCCUGUCAGUCAGAUGUGAAAGCCCGGGGCUCAACCCCGGACGUGCAUUUGAACAGCAGGACUUGAGUACGGGAGAGGAAAGGGGAAUUCCUGGUGUAGAGGUGAAAUUCGUAGAUAUCAGGAGGAACACCGGUGGCGAAGGCGCCUUUCUGGACCGAUACUGACGCUGAGGUGCGAAGGCGUGGGUAGCGAACGGGAUUAGAUACCCGCGUAGUC